AAAAAGGUCGUAGUGACUGCGGAAGGAUCAUUAUCUAUUCCAUGAGGUGCGGUCGCGGCCCUCGGCGGGAGCAACAGCUACCGUCGGGCGGUAGAGGUAACACUUUCACGCGCCGCAUGUCUGAAUCCUUUUUUUACGAGCACCUUUCGUUCUCCUUCGGCGGGGCAACCUGCCGUUGGAACCUAUCAAAACCUUUUUUUGCAUCUAGCAUUACCUGUUCUGAUACAAACAAUCGUUACAACUUUCAACAAUGGAUCUCUUGGCUCUGGCAUCGAUGAAGAACGCAGCGAAAUGCGAUAAGUAGUGUGAAUUGCAGAAUUCAGUGAAUCAUCGAAUCUUUGAACGCACAUUGCGCCCCUUGGUAUUCCAUGGGGCAUGCCUGUUCGAGCGUCAUCUACACCCUCAAGCUCUGCUUGGUGUUGGGCGUCUGUCCCGCCUCUGCGCGCGGACUCGCCCCAAAUUCAUUGGCAGCGGUCCUUGCCUCCUCUCGCGCAGCACAUUGCGCUUCUCGAGGUGCGCGGCCCGCGUCCACGAAGCAACAUUACCGUCUUUGACCUCGGAUCAGGUAGGGAUACCCGCUGAACUUAAGCAUAUCAUAG
This 599-nucleotide ribosomal RNA is filed under the name fungal endophyte. RNAcentral describes it as "eukaryotic LSU rRNA". The stretch from base 240 to 393 matches the Rfam family "5.8S ribosomal RNA". The record is from RNAcentral. Lineage: Eukaryota; Fungi.